RNAcentral lists this ribosomal RNA (476 nucleotides) under uncultured Herpotrichiellaceae. Its description in RNAcentral is "eukaryotic LSU rRNA". The stretch from base 97 to 251 matches the Rfam family "5.8S ribosomal RNA". Lineage: Eukaryota; Fungi; Ascomycota; Eurotiomycetes; Chaetothyriales; Herpotrichiellaceae. The record is from RNAcentral.
CCGUACCUUGACUGGUNUGGNGAGCNNCCGACNAAGGCCAUAACCAAAACUCUUGACCUAAACCUGUUGUNUGAAAUAAAUUGUUAAAUAAAUUGAAANUUUCAACAACGGAUCUCUUGGUUCGGGCAUCGAUGAAGAACGCAGCGAAAUGCGAUAAGUAAUGCGAAUUGCAGAAUUUCCGUGAGUCAUCGAAUCUUUGAACGCACAUUGCGCCCAUUGGUAUUCCGAUGGGCAUGCCUGUUCGAGCGUCAUUAUCCUCCCUCAAACCCCGGGUUUGGUGUUGGACCGCUGUGAGGUUCCGGCCUCACUGGUCCCAAAGACAAUGACGGCGUCCGUGGGACCCCUCUGCGCAACGAGCUUUCACGAGCACGCGCAAAAAGGACCCCGCGGGCCGGUCUCUCCUUUUUUACUUCUAAGGUUGACCUCGGAUCAGGUAGGAAUACCCGCUGAACUUAAGCAUAUCAAUAAGCGGAGGA